Molecule: ribosomal RNA, 467 nt
Filed under: uncultured bacterium
Lineage: Bacteria
Description: partial 16S ribosomal RNA
Rfam family: Bacterial small subunit ribosomal RNA
Source: RNAcentral
ACGAACGCUGGCGGCGUGCUUAACACAUGCAAGUCGCACGGAAAGGCCCUGCUUUUGUGGGGUGCUCGAGUGGCGAACGGGUGAGUAACACGUGAGUAACCUGCCCUUGACUUUGGGAUAACUUCAGGAAACUGGGGCUAAUACCGGAUAGGAGCUCCUGCUGCAUGGUGGGGGUUGGAAAGUUUCGGCGGUUGGGGAUGGACUCGCGGCUUAUCAGCUUGUUGGUGGGGUAGUGGCUUACCAAGGCUUUUACUGGUAGCCGGCCUGAGAGGGUGACCGGCCACAUUGGGACUGAGAUACGGCACAGACUCAUACGGGAGGCAGCAGUGGGGAAUAUUGCACAAUGGGCGGAAGCCUGAUGCAGCAACGCCGCGUGCGGGAUGACGGCCUUCGGGUUGUAAACCGCUUUCGCCUGUGACGAAGCGUGAGUGACGGUAAUGGGUAAAGAAGCACCGGCUAACUACGUG